GAUGAACGCUGGCGGCGUGCCUAAUACAUGCAAGUCGAGCGAACGGACGAGAAGCUUGCUUCUCUGAUGUUAGCGGCGGACGGGUGAGUAACACGUGGAUAACCUACCUAUAAGACUGGGAUAACUUCGGGAAACCGGAGCUAAUACCGGAUAAUAUUUUGAACCGCAUGGUUCAAAAGUGAAAGACGGUCUUGCUGUCACUUAUAGAUGGAUCCGCGCUGCAUUAGCUAGUUGGUAAGGUAACGGCUUACCAAGGCAACGAUGCAUAGCCGACCUGAGAGGGUGAUCUGCCACACUGGAACUGAGACACGGUCCAGACUCCUACGGGAGGCAGCAGUAGGGAAUCUUCCGCAAUGGGCGUAAGCCUGACGGAGCAACGCCGCGUGAGUGAUGAAGGUCUUCGGAUCGUAAAACUCUGUUAUUAGGGAAGAACAUAUGUGUAAGUAACUGUGCACAUCUUGACGGUACCUAAUCAGAAAGCCACGGCUAACUACGUG
This 497-nucleotide ribosomal RNA is filed under the name uncultured bacterium. RNAcentral's name for it is "partial 16S ribosomal RNA". It matches the Rfam family "Bacterial small subunit ribosomal RNA", at positions 28 to 507 of the family's 1533-position model. The record is from RNAcentral.